Molecule: ribosomal RNA, 237 nt
Filed under: uncultured Pycnococcaceae
Lineage: Eukaryota; Viridiplantae; Chlorophyta; Pseudoscourfieldiophyceae; Pseudoscourfieldiales; Pycnococcaceae
Description: partial Bacterial large subunit ribosomal RNA
Rfam family: Bacterial large subunit ribosomal RNA
Source: RNAcentral
UGUUUUGGGUAGGGGAGCGUCGUAUAUGGGGUGAAGCACGAUCGUAAGGGCGUGUGGACUGUAUGCGAGUGAGAAUGCAGGCAUGAGUAACGAGAGAUACGUGAGAAUCGUAUCCGCCGAAUGAUCAAGGGUUCCUGGGUCAAGUUCGUCUUCCCAGGGUGAGUCGGGUCCUAAGGCGAGGCCGACAGGCGUAGUCGAUGGUCAACGGGUUGAUAUUCCCGUACCCGUGGUAUCGCG